GAAAUCUGAUAGGUGAGGAGGCCGGCGGGCCGCGCAGGGCGGCGCGGGCUGGGGGACGCGGCGGGCGGCUCCGGGAGGCGACGGGACCCCCAGGCCGGCAGCCGAGUGAAGAGGCAGGAACUGUCUACAAAUGCUCCGGCUCCGAAGCCCCGAGGGAAAGAGCAUCUUUCACGGAGCACCAGGAAUUGACGACGGUGGAAUUUGCUCAGAUCCCCUGAGGCCGGUUCUUUGAGUUUCUGUCUGGCCCUCCGGGAGAACCGUCCCAAAGUUAACUUUGAAAACACUCACAGGAGAGGGAAGGCUGUGGGGUCCUUCGCUUCUCAAACCCCAGAUGCCCCCGGAAAGAACACCGCCCCCGACCACCACCACAACCAGAUGUUUUUAAAAAGAGAUGCUAAGCAAAAGGCCUGAUUAUGAGGAAUGAGCCAAAGUCAUGCAAGGCGUGGGGCGCUAUGGGACUGCGCAGUGACGACCCAGUGAAGUAGAUGCCUUGACGAUUCCCAUUUCACGGAUGAGACGACUCCGGCACAGAGAAGUCAGAGGGCCUGUCCUGGGUCACACAGCCACAGGCGGCCCCCAGAACGGGACUUCAGGGUGCACCACUGCACCCCAGCAGAGACCUCCGCCUGGCACACAGGGAAUGCUGGAGCAAUACUUAAAUAGUGAUCCUGACUUCAGAAUGCAGCAUCCGUGAACGUGCCAUGUUGCAUGCAGCUAACCAGUGCUUGGAGAGACUGGACUUAAGCUCUUGUCUUCAACCCAGACCCAAGGACUGCCUGUUCCUUUGCAGAACUGCCUAGUACACAGAGUUAAACGUCGUGUAGCUUGUAUGAUUGGGAAGGAAGCAGAAAGUAGAAUUCUGAAAUAACAUAACUGAUUUUUUUUCAACCAGCAUGGCAGCUUUUCGUGUUUGGAAGCCUUCAGAAUCAUUUCCUACCCUCUCAAGGAACCCAUUCUUUAGAGGUACACACCGUUCCUGUCAGAGAGGCUAUCUUCCUAGUGCUAAAUGAUUUUUUGAUGCACUGAAAAUUAAAUUCACACUCAAAUUUCUGCAUUUGAGGAGAUUUUCCUGUACGCUGAGCUCUGUCAAAAGAGGUAUAUUGAAGAGAGGGUAGUUCUGGGACCAUUUGCAAGACAGCGCAUUGAUUGGAAGCCUAUACAUUCUGGAGUGUUGGCUUAAUAUGUUGAUCAUCCUUUGAGGUGGGGCACAAGGAAAAAUAAACUAUUUCUCCUUCAGGAACAUACAGUGGCAUAAGAGAGACCAACUUGGUGAUAACUGAUCAUAGGAUUAGACCAAGGUGCAGAAGCAAACAGAACCUCCAUAAAAUGUAAUGAUGUCUUGUGCCUGCAAUCCUAGUGCUUUCAGAGGCCAAGGUGGGAAGAUUCCUUGAGCUCAGGAGUUCGAGACCAGCCUGAACAACACAACAAGACCUCGUAUCUAUGAAAAAAUAAAAAUAAUAAAAUUAGCUGCACACCUAUUUGGUGGCACACACCUGUGGUCCCAGGUACUCGGGAGGCUGAGAUGAGAUCAUUUGAGCCCAGGAGAUCAAGGCUGCAAUCAGCUGUGAUCAUGCCACUGCCCUCCAGCCUGGACAACUGAGCGAGACCCUGUCUCCAAAAAAAGUAAAAUUAAAAAAAAAAUUAAAAUGUGAUGGAGUGCAGAGGAAAGGUCAGUUGAUUCUCACUAAGGGUUGGACUUCAUUGGUGAUUUUCUGUCUUUUUAAGAGUUAGAAACUCCUUUUUCAAAUGAAACGUGUAUGGACCUCCAAUGUCUUCAGCCAGGUCAGAGAUGUUUUGUUGGGGACGGGGGCUUCCAGCCCACUGAACACCCCUGUCCUGCCAUAGCCCCAGAGGUACCACCUUGGGCUCUGCCCAGUGCUGCUUCAACACCUCCAGAUGGGAGGAGAGGGACCUUUCCUUCCAGUUCUAACCCCCACAUCAGUCAAGGGAACCCUGUACAAAAUGCUGAGAAAGCCAAAGAAAGUCAGAGUGCAGGCAGCUUCUUGUGACUUACUGCGGGGGCUCCUUGUGUCUCCCCUCCUCCUGCCUGUUAGACUUCUCCUUGCUGGCUGGGCCCACGCGUGGAUGCACGGGUGCGGAGGAUGGGAACCCAGGAUCACUCAGCAACGUGCUUCUUGUCAGCUUCCUGCAAAGGGGAGAAAUCACGCGUCAACCAGAAGCUUUUAAGUGAAAAUCUGAGGACCUCCUACCUUCAUCCACCAGAAUGCUGCAGCUUUCAAAGUACUUUCUAGACAAUGUCAUUCAAGCUUGUGAUAAUCCCACUGGGUGGGAUGAGUGGGAGGUGUUAUUAUUUCACAGAUGAAAUUGAGGUUCGUUGGUGACUGAGCACCUCUUGUCACCUCACUGUCCCAUGUCCACAAUGGAGAUGCAGGAAAGGUGCUUUGAACUUUGGUCAGCACCUAGUAAGCCCUCAGUGCACGUUAGCACUGGUCAUUCGGUAGUGACCCAGGAGCUCAUCACUAGGAAGUGGCGGACUGGGAAGCAGAAUCAGACCUCCAAAUUCCCCCCAGGACCUGUCGCUCACUCUGCUAUUUGAGUGUCCAGCCCAGAAGCAUUUUCGGAUCUCCAAAAUAAAGUCAAAAGUGCUAGCAAUGCUUGGUGAAUUAAUAACAUGUGAUGUUGGCCAGGCACAGCGGCUCACGCCUAUAAUCCCAGCACUUUGGGAGGCCGAGGCGGGUGGAUCACGAAGUAAGGAGAUCGAGACCUUCUUGGCUAACACGGUGAAACCCCGUCUCUACUAAAAAUACAAAAAAUUAGCCGGGCGCGGUGGCGGGCGCCUGUAGUCCCAGCUACUGGGGAGGCUGAGGCAGGAGAAUGGCGUGAACCUGGGAGGCGGAGCUUGCAGUGAGCUGAGAUGGCACCACUGCAGUCCGGCCUGGGCGAAAGAGUGAGACUCCAUCUCAAAAAUUAAUUAAUUAAUUAAUUAAUUAAAAAAUAAAACAACACUGUGAUGUUAAGGCCCUAUUUUCCAGGAUUUAUCAUGAUUGGUUUUAUUGAGUAAAGCCUGGGCAAAAGACUUAGGUGUCAAUUUCGAAAGACUCAUUUAAGUAUCUUUUUAGAAGUAACAUUAUGUAUUAUUAUUGUU
Homo sapiens (human) is the source of this 3106-nucleotide long non-coding RNA. Ensembl annotates it as B3GALT5 antisense RNA 1. Its record names the gene B3GALT5-AS1. NCBI's taxonomy places the organism in Eukaryota, Metazoa, Chordata, Mammalia, Primates, Hominidae. The record is from Ensembl.